RNAcentral lists this unclassified non-coding RNA (237 nucleotides) under air metagenome. RNAcentral's name for it is "partial contains small subunit ribosomal RNA, internal transcribed spacer 1, and 5.8S ribosomal RNA". The stretch from base 1 to 46 matches the Rfam family "Eukaryotic small subunit ribosomal RNA", at positions 1786 to 1831 of the family's 1831-position model. The record is from RNAcentral.
AAGUCGUAACAAGGUUUCCGUAGGUGAACCUGCGGAAGGAUCAUUACAGAGUUCAUGCCCCUCGGGGCAGACCUCCCACCCUUUGUAUACAUUGCCUUUUGUUGCUUUGGCGAGCCGCCUCUCGGCCGUCGGCCCCGGCCGGCGCGCGCUCGCCGGAGACCCCCAAACCCUGUUUUACAGUGUCGUCCGAGUACUAUAUAAUAGUUAAAACUUUCAACAACGGAUCUCUUGGUUCUG